CCUACGGGAGGCAGCAGUGGGGAAUAUUGCACAAUGGGCGCAAGCCUGAUGCAGCCAUGCCGCGUGUGUGAAGAAGGCCUUCGGGUUGUAAAGCACUUUCAGCGGGGAGGAAGGCGGUGAGGUUAAUAACCUCAUCGAUUGACGUUACCCGCAGAAGAAGCACCGGCUAACUCCGUGCCAGCAGCCGCGGUAAUACGGAGGGUGCAAGCGUUAAUCGGAAUUACUGGGCGUAAAGCGCACGCAGGCGGUCUGUCAAGUCGGAUGUGAAAUCCCCGGGCUCAACCUGGGAACUGCAUUCGAAACUGGCAGGCUAGAGUCUUGUAGAGGGGGGUAGAAUUCCAGGUGUAGCGGUGAAAUGCGUAGAGAUCUGGAGGAAUACCGGUGGCGAAGGCGGCCCCCUGGACAAAGACUGACGCGCAGGUGCGAAAGCGUGGGGAGCAAACAGGAUAGAUACCCGAGUAGUC
RNAcentral lists this ribosomal RNA (464 nucleotides) under uncultured Klebsiella sp. Its description in RNAcentral is "bacterial SSU rRNA". It matches the Rfam family "Bacterial small subunit ribosomal RNA", at positions 338 to 795 of the family's 1533-position model. Lineage: Bacteria; Pseudomonadati; Pseudomonadota; Gammaproteobacteria; Enterobacterales; Enterobacteriaceae. The record is from RNAcentral.